GAAGUGGUAGCUCAGUAAUAGAACUCUCGCCUUCUAUGUGGGAGACCUGGGUUCGAUUCCCAGCCAAUAUA
Molecule: transfer RNA, 71 nt
Filed under: Loxodonta africana (African savanna elephant)
Lineage: Eukaryota; Metazoa; Chordata; Mammalia; Proboscidea; Elephantidae
Rfam family: tRNA
About the family: Transfer RNA (tRNA) molecules are approximately 80 nucleotides in length. Their secondary structure includes four short double-helical elements and three loops (D, anti-codon, and T loops). Further hydrogen bonds mediate the characteristic L-shaped molecular structure. tRNAs have two regions of fundamental functional importance: the anti-codon, which is responsible for specific mRNA codon recognition, and the 3' end, to which the tRNAs corresponding amino acid is attached (by aminoacyl-tRNA synthetases). tRNAs cope with the degeneracy of the genetic code in two manners: having more than one tRNA (with a specific anti-codon) for a particular amino acid; and 'wobble' base-pairing, i.e. permitting non-standard base-pairing at the 3rd anti-codon position.
Source: Rfam by way of RNAcentral